Molecule: long non-coding RNA, 377 nt
Organism: Monopterus albus (swamp eel)
Lineage: Eukaryota; Metazoa; Chordata; Actinopteri; Synbranchiformes; Synbranchidae
Exons: 3
Source: RefSeq, a predicted model, not a curated record
CGAUAACAGAUCCUGUCUCUUAUGUUUUGUUGCGAUGAUGAGCUGCUCUGUCUCCCUUCAUGUUCUUUGUUAGGAGUUUUCUAGAGCUAUGCCACAACGAAGCCAGCAGCGGUUUGAAUGAGGAUAUGUCUCUGACAGAAGUCUCGGUUGCCGUCAUCCUGGUGACAUUGUCACUAUCCCAACCAGGACUUGUGACUCAGCUUGAACUUGAGCGCUGAUGACACAGACUCAAGCUUGGACUCAAGCGCUGACUGCAUUCAGACUCGGAAGCUGGAGACUUAAGCUGUUUUCAGGUAGGACACUGUAUGCGCAGGGCUCGCCACAGGGAGCAGAGUGCAGUACCCACCACGUCCUAUCUGAAAACGGCUUUAGACCUG